Molecule: long non-coding RNA, 865 nt
Organism: Limulus polyphemus (Atlantic horseshoe crab)
Lineage: Eukaryota; Metazoa; Arthropoda; Merostomata; Xiphosura; Limulidae
Exons: 3
Source: RefSeq, a predicted model, not a curated record
UAAGCUGGAAAUGCAGGCGUUAAAAUAUUUUAAGUUGUAAAUAUUAUUCCACAGCCAGUUCAAGUAACAGGAUGGACGCUAGCCGCCUGUUCAAACGCAAUCAGUUUAUAUGGAACCUACAACUGGAGUCGAGGUGUGGGUGAUAGUCAGACAGUAGGACUGCUGUACUCUGGCUUAUAUCGGACCUUAUGGGCGGCUAGUGUUGCUUGGAUUCUUGUAGCAUGUGUCAGAGGGAAAGGAGGUAUUAUCAACCAGGUGUUAUCGUGGAAUGGAAUGAAAAUCCUCGAUCGCUUGACGUACAUGGUUUACCUGUUACAUCCAUUGGUUCAAUAUGCAUACAUCGGUCAACUAAGACAGAACACAGACGCACGAGCCAUCACUUUUAUAUACAUGUACUUUGGACAUGUGAUUAUAUCAUAUGCGUUGGCGAGUUUUAGUGUAGUUUUGUUCGAGAUUCCCAUCACGAAGAUUCAGAAACAACUCCUCUUGCAGCGGGUUGGUCAGCACCGGAGGGUUCCUGAUGGUGCUCGUGAUGAGGAAUGAAACGUUACAAGUUAUAACUGACUGGAUGAAAACACGUUCUGAACAAGACAGUGUUUUACUACCAGUAAAAUAAUCACACUAGUUACUCAAACUGUUUCAGUUUGUGUUUUUAACAUUUGUUUGUUUAUGUAUAUCUUUUUUUGUUUAUGAGUUUGAAAAACAACAAAAAAUACCAUUUUACAUGUACUUAAGUACACGCGCUUUUAAGUCUAGACCCAAGGCUUUGUCGUUAUUUUAUUAUGGUUAUCAAAAAACUGUUUUCACGCGUAGAAUGUCUAGUGCAUUGUAGCAAUAAGCAGGUUAUUUAUAAAAACUCUUCAAU